Long non-coding RNA from Belonocnema kinseyi, 624 nucleotides. RefSeq lists it as uncharacterized. The transcript has 3 exons. Lineage: Eukaryota; Metazoa; Arthropoda; Insecta; Hymenoptera; Cynipidae. The record is from RefSeq and is a predicted model, not a curated record.
ACUUCUGUACGUUUGUUGUAUUUUUGUCAGUUACAAGUGUCAUCAUGUUUAUGGAUAAGGAAACCUGCGAUGUGUUAGCGAAUUGGGGAUUCGCCGAUAAAAUCCCACAAUUUUAUUAUUGAAUUUGACUUCGCGUAUAAGAAGGGCAAAGAAGGAACAAUUUAUAUUCAGUGGCCAGAUUUAUCUAUCAAACUAUAUGAAUUAAUGCAGAAUGAAAUAAAAGACCCAACAUCUAGGACCUUGUUGGAAAUUCUUGCUACAACCGAUAUUCUCGGUGUCUAGAUAUCCAGCCGCAAGUAUGAUACAGAAAUGUUACUGGCUACUGGACCUUUAAAUCCAUGAAUUCCUUCAUUUCCAUGAAUUCUGCAAAUUCUGUGUUUUCUAUGAAUAUAAUAAAUACCAUAAAUGUCGUAAAUUCGAUGAAGGCCUUGAAUUUUCUGAAUGCCAUCUAUGAAAAUGACACUGUCUCCCAGUAGGACCACGGAAAAUCAUACCUAUGACCACGUCUCACAUGUAGGCCCAUACCUGCAUAUAGUGCCUAAUUGCAGUAAUUUGUAUACUAGAAAAUCGUAGCGAUUACGAGGAUAUAUUCCUUCAAUAACUUUUAUAUUCCGUUAUUUUUAC